AUGAAGGGCUGGGGGGCCAACCUGGGCCGUGACGCCAGGGAGCGUAAGAAGGCGUUGCUCACCGCGAUCCAGGCCCUCGACUUUCGGGCUGACGCGGUGGGUCUCUCCCCGGACGAGUGGCUCUCCCGCUAUGACCUCGAAGACCAGCUCUCCGUGAUUUACACCGAUGAGGAAGCCUAUUGGCGCCUUCGGGGCGCUCAGCGUUGGGUCCUGAAGGGUGACGCGAAUACGGCUUACUUCCAGGCGAUUGCCAACGGGCGCCGUAGACGCAACACCAUUCCCUGCCUUUGGGAUGGGGUAACCCUCCUCCAGGACCCCCGGGACAUCCGCUCCCAUGUCGACGGCUUCUAUCGUUCCCUCUUCUCUCCC
RNAcentral lists this ribosomal RNA (369 nucleotides) under Triticum aestivum (bread wheat). RNAcentral describes it as "partial small subunit ribosomal RNA". The record is from RNAcentral. Lineage: Eukaryota; Viridiplantae; Streptophyta; Magnoliopsida; Poales; Poaceae.